RNAcentral lists this ribosomal RNA (709 nucleotides) under uncultured Vagococcus sp. RNAcentral's name for it is "bacterial SSU rRNA". It matches the Rfam family "Bacterial small subunit ribosomal RNA", at positions 805 to 1516 of the family's 1533-position model. The record is from RNAcentral. Lineage: Bacteria; Bacillati; Bacillota; Bacilli; Lactobacillales; Enterococcaceae.
ACCGAUGAGUGCUAAGUGUUAGGGGGUUCCGCCCUUUAGUGCUGCAGCUAACGCAUUAAGCACUCCGCCUGGGGAGUACGACCGCAAGGUUGAAACUCAAAGGAAUUGACGGGGGCCCGCACAGCGGUGGAGCAUGUGGUUUAAUUCGAAGCAACGCGAAGAACCUUACCAGGUCUUGACAUCCUUUGACCACUCUAGAGAUAGAGCUUUCCCUUCGGGGACAAAGUGACAGGUGGUGCAUGGUUGUCGUCAGCUCGUGUCGUGAGAUGUUGGGUUAAGUCCCGCAACGAGCGCAACCCUUAUUGUUAGUUGCCAUCAUUAAGUUGGGCACUCUAGCGAGACUGCCGGUGACAAACCGGAGGAAGGUGGGGAUGACGUCAAAUCAUCAUGCCCCUUAUGACCUGGGCUACACACGUGCUACAAUGGACAGUACAAUGAGCAGCGACACGGCGACGUGAAGCGAAUCUCAUAAAGCUGUUCUCAGUUCGGAUUGUAGGCUGCAACUCGCCUACAUGAAGCCGGAAUCGCUAGUAAUCGCGGAUCAGCACGCCGCGGUGAAUACGUUCCCGGGCCUUGUACACACCGCCCGUCACACCACGAAAGUUUGUAACACCCGAAGUCGGUGAGGUAACCGCAAGGAGCCAACCGCCUAAGGUGGGAUAGAUGAUUGGGGUGAAGUCGUAACAAGGUAACCAAGGGCGAAUUCCAG